GGGAAUAAAACAAACCGGAGAACACUCUCAUCUGCUCUGUCCCUCACUUUGAUUUUCAUAACCGUGCCUGCUCCUUAAAAUAGUCGAAAAGUCGCGCCUGCUCGUGCGCCAUGAGAUCUUUAACCCUCUGAAGAAAAAAGAUAAGGAAUGGGAAAAUGAAGAGGAAGAACGAGAAAAAGAAGACAAUGUAGGGGAGGGGUGCGAAUCAGAAUAUUAUGGAUUGAUACAAAUAGUCGCUCGCGCCAACCCUCAGCCAGAGUUGAAUUAAUGUGUUACUAUUUUUGGAGCGCCUGUGUUUCCAGGGGAAACCUAAUGACGCAAUGACGUCAAUGCAGGUCAACAGCAGACUGGAGGAAUUGAGCGCUUCCAUUAGAUUUUGCAGUAUUUUCCAGAAACGCGGAAAGGACAAAAUGGAUUAGUUUAAAAUAUAGUCAAAAAAUAUCAGAUUGCAAUUUUAUAAACGCAAAGAUCAGAGAGCCGAAAAAUGCGCGCGACCGAAAAAUGGGAAGAUCAGAAUUUAUUGGAAUUAUCAUUGCGAAAAACCAAAGAAAAAACAUCUCGGCUUCCUUGAAGCAUCACUUACACGAUUACAAGCAUCCCUAUUUAACUUGUCAUCAGUGUGACGAAAACCCCUUCCUUCCCCCACUCUUCCACAAAUUGUGGGUGUGUGCAGUACUGGGCGUUCACCGCGGCGGGUGGGUUUCAGCGCCGUGGACAGCAGCCCGUUCAGAACCAUGGACAGCACCAGUUUAAUUAACGCGCCUCCUUCAAUCAACCAGAAUACAUCACAUCUGCGCAAGCAACAGACGAAGCUGAAUUCUGUGACCCUCUUUGUCCUUUUCAGGUCUUUUUGCGGUCUGGGCUUGCUGUUCCUUAAACCACUAGCCAGGAAGCCCUUACCCCAAAAAGUAUCUGCAGAGGACAACAACAUCCGAACAAACAUAACAAGCUCUCAACAUCACCACCAAGACCUCUGUAUCCUCUCACUUUUAAAAAAAUAAAUCUUCUUCAUCCUUAAUGAUCUAGAUGUAUAUAACAAAUUUAGAGAAUCCAUGUUUACUAACAAAAUUAACAUUAAGCCUAAGAUUGAUUAUUUCACAUUAUUUUGCAUAGAAUAAAUUAUUCAUAUUUUGUUGAGAAAUUACACACUUUAUACCUUUUAAUAUAAUUUGACUAAAACAUGACAACUAAAGGACAACUAAAACAGAAUAGUCAUUUUUAUCUGUUGAGAAUUUAAGGAUCAUCUUUGGACACAAACCGGACACAGAGGAUGAAGAGUGACCAUGCAGACAAACCUGAAAUACACAUAGAUCAUAACUUAAACUUCUCUGCCUACUUGAUUGAUUUUGCUGAGUUUGAUUACAUUUGGUGUAAAGACAUUAAGCAUUAAAACACCUAUUAAAAUAUAUAAAAAAGCAACAAGACAAACUGUGUAACAAGGCAGUUCACACAAUUGGCACCAUAUACAAAAAUCACUUAUUUUAGUGUUAGUUGGUCUAUGUUAAAUAACUGUCCAUUAAUUAACCUAAAAACUUAAACCUAAAAAUGUUUUCUGUUUAAAGUUUUUGUACAUACAGUGUCCAAAGGCAGAAAAAUAGCAGAACACAACACAUUCCCAGUGUGUUUAAAAUAUCACUAAACAUCACCCAGAGUUCCAUUAAUUUAAUGCAUUAAUUAUUCCUUAAUAAAAUACAGAAAAGAAGUAUACUGAAAAAAGUCUUAAAUGGGUCAUAAAGAACCUUAAUGAAUGGCAAAGAGUCUGUGUCAUUGUUCCGAUGACACCCGUAAGAUACAAGAGUUGAGCAUUCAGCCAGCUCUAUGGCCAUCUUGUGAUUGUUUUCUUUUGCCCAGAGCAUUUAUCUCCAUAACUUCCUCCCCAUUCACUGGUCCACCAGCUGAGUGCUUUGGUCAUGUGACUCUAUACCGUCCGCAGGCCUUCCCGUUUGCCCAGUUCUUCCCAGAGAGAUCUUCAACACUUGUGAGACCAUAUGCUUGACAAAACUUAUAAAUAAGGUUCCCUUAAAUUAUGAUAUAAAAAACUCUAUCAAGUCUCUGUUUAGGAAUAGAAAGAAUUGUAUGAGUUUCUACUGUAUAUCAUUACAUCAAGUGGCAUCACAUCUUAGUGAAUGUAAUCUGGAUAAAAAAGUCUUUUUUAAAUGCAUAAUCCAUGUACCAAAACUUAAUGUGUGAAAAAGGGUUAGUCUCUUUGAAUUAUGAUCCAUGGACAUGGGACACAAUAUGUGUCACCCUGUAGCCUUGGGAAAUAGAACAGUGCUCUGCCGAUGUCAUCAGCAGGACGCAUUAUUGUGGCACCACUUUUUGGGUCUCAAUAUUGUAAUGGACCUAAUGAUGUCGCUACUUUAGAUGAGCGUUGUUAGGGGCUAAGACGUGUAAUUCAUCUUUUGUUAAUUUAUUUUGAAACAAAUGUUUAACAUGGAAUUAUCAUAAAUUCAUAUCUUGCAAUGUUACAGCAUAUGAUAUCAUUCUUAACAUUAAAAACGUUAAUGAU
Molecule: long non-coding RNA, 2509 nt
Organism: Triplophysa rosa
Lineage: Eukaryota; Metazoa; Chordata; Actinopteri; Cypriniformes; Nemacheilidae
Exons: 3
Source: RefSeq, a predicted model, not a curated record